This 737-nucleotide ribosomal RNA is filed under the name uncultured Glomeromycotina. RNAcentral describes it as "SSU rRNA". It matches the Rfam family "Eukaryotic small subunit ribosomal RNA", at positions 373 to 1111 of the family's 1831-position model. Lineage: Eukaryota; Fungi; Glomeromycota. The record is from RNAcentral.
GGGCACGACACCGGAGAGGGAGCCUGAGAAACGGCUACCACAUNNAANGAUGGCAGCAGGCGCGCAAAUUACCCAAUCCCGACACGGGGAGGUAGUGACAAUAAAUAACAAUACGGGGUUCUUUAGGAUCUCGUAAUUGGAAUGAGUACAAUUUAAAUCUCUUAACGAGGAACAAUUGGAGGGCAAGUCUGGUGCCAGCAGCCGCGGUAAUUCCAGCUCCAAUAGCGUAUAUUAAAGUUGUUGCAGUUAAAAAGCUCGUAGUUGAAUUUCGGGGUUAGUAGGUUGGUCAUGCCUCUGGUAUGUACUGGUCUCACUGAUUCCUCCUUCCUUAUGAACCGUAAUGCCAUUAAUUUGGUGUUGCGGGGAAUUUGGACUGUUACUUUGAAAAAAUUAGAGUGUUUAAAGCAAGCUAACGCUUGAAUACAUUAGCAUGGAAUAAUGAAAUAGGACGUUCGAUCUUAUUUUGUUGGUUUCUAGGAUUGACGUAAUGAUUAAUAGGGAUAGUUGGGGGCAUUAGUAUUCAAUUGUCAGAGGUGAAAUUCUUGGAUUUAUUGAAGACUAACUACUGCGAAAGCAUUUGCCAAGGAUGUUUUCAUUAAUCAAGAACGAAAGUUAGGGGAUCGAAGACGAUCAGAUACCGUCGUAGUCUUAACCAUAAACUAUGCCGACUAGGGAUCGGAUGAUGUUAAUUUUUUAAUGACUCAUUCGGCGCCUUACGGGAAACCAAAGUGUUUGGG